RNAcentral lists this ribosomal RNA (498 nucleotides) under uncultured bacterium. RNAcentral describes it as "partial 16S ribosomal RNA". It matches the Rfam family "Bacterial small subunit ribosomal RNA", at positions 28 to 508 of the family's 1533-position model. The record is from RNAcentral.
GACGAACGCUGGCGGCGUGCCUAAUACAUGCAAGUUGAGCGCUGAAGGUUGGUACUUGUACCGACUGGAUGAGCAGCGAACGGGUGAGUAACGCGUGGGGAAUCUGCCUUUGAGCGGGGGACAACAUUUGGAAACGAAUGCUAAUACCGCAUAAAAACUUUAAACACAAGUUUUAAGUUUGAAAGAUGCAAUUGCAUCACUCAAAGAUGAUCCCGCGUUGUAUUAGCUAGUUGGUGAGGUAAAGGCUCACCAAGGCGAUGAUACAUAGCCGACCUGAGAGGGUGAUCGGCCACAUUGGGACUGAGACACGGCCCAAACUCCUACGGGAGGCAGCAGUAGGGAAUCUUCGGCAAUGGACGAAAGUCUGACCGAGCAACGCCGCGUGAGUGAAGAAGGUUUUCGGAUCGUAAAACUCUGUUGGUAGAGAAGAACGUUGGUGAGAGUGGAAAGCUCAUCAAGUGACGGUAACUACCCAGAAAGGGACGGCUAACUACGUGC